UGUUAAAAGUUUCAUUCAUUUUUACUAUAAAAAAUUGUCAUGGUUGGCAAAAUAACCAGAUAGUUACACGUGGUGUGCCACAUGUACCUCAUUCUGACGUACAAGGAUCGGUUUUUAACAAUAGAAAUGGAUGAAAUUUUUAACA
This is a non-coding RNA of Gossypium arboreum, 145 nucleotides long. Lineage: Eukaryota; Viridiplantae; Streptophyta; Magnoliopsida; Malvales; Malvaceae. The record is from Rfam.